GGAUUNNGAGCUUGCUCUUAUGAAGUUAGCGGCGGACGGGUGAGUAACACGUGGGUAACCUGCCCAUAAGACUGGGAUAACUCCGGGAAACCGGGGCUAAUACCGGAUAACAUUUUGAACCGCAUGGUUCGAAAUUGAAAGGCGGCUUCGGCUGUCACUUAUGGAUGGACCCGCGUCGCAUUAGCUAGUUGGUGAGGUAACGGCUCACCAAGGCAACGAUGCGUAGCCGACCUGAGAGGGUGAUCGGCCACACUGGGACUGAGACACGGCCCAGACUCCUACGGGAGGCAGCAGUAGGGAAUCUUCCGCAAUGGACGAAAGUCUGACGGAGCAACGCCGCGUGAGUGAUGAAGGCUUUCGGGUCGUAAAACUCUGUUGUUAGGGAAGAACAAGUGCUAGUUGAAUAAGCUGGCACCUUGACGGUACCUAACCAGAAAGCCACGGCUAACUACGUGCCAGCAGCCGCGGUAAUACGUAGGUGGCAAGCGUUAUCCGGAAUUAUUGGGCGUAAAGCGCGCGCNNGUGGUUUCUUAAGUCUGAUGUGAAAGCCCACGGCUCAACCGUG
RNAcentral lists this ribosomal RNA (565 nucleotides) under Bacillus sp. (in: firmicutes). RNAcentral's name for it is "bacterial SSU rRNA". It matches the Rfam family "Bacterial small subunit ribosomal RNA", at positions 69 to 617 of the family's 1533-position model. The record is from RNAcentral. Lineage: Bacteria; Bacillati; Bacillota; Bacilli; Caryophanales; Bacillaceae.